GACGAACGCUGGCGGCGUGCCUAAUACAUGCAAGUUGAGCGAUGAAGCUUGGUGCUUGCACCAAUUUGAAGAGCAGCGAACGGGUGAGUAACGCGUGGGGAAUCUGCCUUUGAGCGGGGGACAACAUUUGGAAACGAAUGCUACUACCGCAUAACAACUUUAAACAUAAGUUUUAAGUUUGAAAGAUGCAAUUGCAUCACUCAAAGAUGAUCCCGCGUUGUAUUAGCUAGUUGGUGAGGUAAAGGCUCACCAAGGCGAUGAUACAUAGCCGACCUGAGAGGGUGAUCGGCCACAUUGGGACUGAGACACGGCCCAAACUCCUACGGGAGGCAGCAGUAGGGGAUCUUCGGCAAUGGACGAAAGUCUGACCGAGCAACGCCGCGUGAGUGAAGAAGGUUUUCGGAUCGUAAAACUCUGUUGGUAGAGAAGAACGUUGGUGAGAGUGGAAAGCUCAUCAAGUGACGGUAACUACCCAGAAAGGGACGGCUAACUACGUG
This 497-nucleotide ribosomal RNA is filed under the name uncultured bacterium. Its description in RNAcentral is "partial 16S ribosomal RNA". It matches the Rfam family "Bacterial small subunit ribosomal RNA", at positions 28 to 507 of the family's 1533-position model. The record is from RNAcentral.